This 5212-nucleotide long non-coding RNA is filed under the name Sphaeramia orbicularis (orbiculate cardinalfish). RNAcentral describes it as "lncRNA (ENSSORG00005010453.1)". The record is from RNAcentral. Lineage: Eukaryota; Metazoa; Chordata; Actinopteri; Kurtiformes; Apogonidae.
GGCAGGCCUCAGCUGUCCAGACUUUCAGGCUGGUGGACCCAGCUCAGCGGGUUGGUCCAGAACGCCUUUUCCCAUACGUUCUGGGCGUGUGGGGAGAGGUUGUCGACCUCUUACCAUCACCCAUCACCCCACAGAGACCACUAAAGAUUUGGGGCCCGACCAUCUUCUUUCCUCCAUCAAAUUCAGCAAGUGUGAACUUCAACCACAUAUCAGCCGCAUCCCCAUCCGGAGGGCGGGCUCCAAUGAAACCCCGCCCACCCAUAUCAGUAACACAGCAUCUUCUAGCGAUAAACAGGAAGCAAAGGAAGAAUCAGCCACCUUGAAAGUGUGGAAGCUGUUAAAACCUGGCCUCCAACGACACCUGUCGCUAUCAGGAGUAGCUGGGAAGGAGGCUGCCAUACAGCUGGCCUCUAAAGCACUGAUAAAGAAGAAUACAGACAGAAGUGUCCACUACAAAGGAGAUGCUGUUAUAGAAACUGCAUCUGAGACUAAUGAAAAACUGCAACAGGUUGAGGAACCUCCGUUGAUGCCUUUGCCUGAGACUGUCAACAUGUGUGAGACUGUGACCCUUUGUGGAGAAGCCUAGGAACUACAUAUCUACUGUAGCACUGAGAGUACCUUUUGGCACAAUCCCAAUUCACCCUUUGGCCCUCCCCCUUAGCCCAAACGGAGCUCCAAGGGGUAGGGGUUGAAACAUUCCCCUAUGAAAUGGGACAACCCUUCGAGACCUGUUACGUCAUCGGUAGUCAUCAAUGCUGCUAUUAACAGAUGCGGCAACUUUGUUUCCAGAAGUGUUCACCAUGCCGUCAGUAGCUGUAUCCAUCUCUGUUGCAUCAGCUUUGGUCACCUUUUUGCGGCUAUCAACUAUAAACUGCAGAGGUGUGAUCCAUAACACAUUGAAACGGCAUUAAACGGUCGAUCAAAUGAUUAAGUUGUUUACCAAGAAAAUACGUAUUUUUGUGUUUCUUUCAUCACACUGCUGCACUUUUUGGCUCUUUACCUCCAUCUUGCCAAUGAUUCAAACAGAAUUAUAGGAAUUUUCUUUUACCCCUCCGUUCAUAGUGUGGUUGUCAAAAAUCUCUGUUUCGAGGUCUUAGCCCUUCCCCUCCGUUUAAUUGAGAAUUGGGACAACACUACCCCUUAAGGCAGGGGUGUCAAGCUCAUUUCAUUUCAGGGGCCACAUACAGCCUAAUAUUUUAUAAAGUGGGCCAGACCAGUAAAAUAAAAUAAAUAAUAGGGCAACAAGUUAUAAGUAAAGUCAACUCCAAAAUUUGCUGUAUGUUUUUGAGUGAAAAAAAGUCAAAUUCUGUAAUGAAAAUGUUUACACCUAUGAACAGUACUUGAAUAUAACAUGAACAAAUAUGAACCUGAAAAUUCUUUUAAAAAAUAAGCACAAUUUUAACAAUAUUACACCUUAGUUUAUAAUUUAUACAUGUGCAUUAUAACUUACAGAUCACAGUGGAUCUACAAAUACACAAAACAUUAAGUAACAGGCAGAAUAUUGGUAAAAUUAAAGUACUGUUAAGACAUUUCAGGUUGUUCACAUUUUUGUAAAAGGCUAGUCUGUAAAUGUGAACAUUUUUGUGUAAUUUUCACUUUUUUAAAACUGAAACAAAGAGGAAAAAAUUGCAGUUGUCAUUAUUUAUAGGUUAUUAUGAUAGUAUUUUACUGGUCUGACCCACUUUAGAUUGAAUUGACCUAAAAUUAUUUUAAUAUCUUCAGUAUAAUUUCACCAUAACUUUUGCAUUUCACAAAUUCAUCCCAGGGGCCAGAUUGGACCCUUUGGCGGGCCAGUUUUGGCCCCCGGGCCGCAUGUUUGACACCUGUGCCUUAAGGUGUACUUGCAAAAUGGAGGGGUAGGGGUAAGGGGGAGGGCCAAGGGGUGAAUUGGGAUUCAGCCUCAAUGUCUGUUUGCUUUAUAUAUGCUUGUAUUACCACAAACCUAUUACCAAAAACAUUAAAACCAUAGGGGAGGGCAGUUUCAUCGCAGGAGGAUAAGAUGGUUCUCGAUAAUGUGCAAUAUAACUUUAUGACUGUUGCCCAGCGCAGCUUUACUGACGUAGCUCUUGAGGUUAAGUGCCUUGCUCAAUAACACCCCAGCCGCCGCUGAGGAAGGGAAGAUGCACACUUUCAGCUUUUCAUUUGAUCAAGGCAGUGACCUCAAAUGUGUGUUCUUUAACAUUUCAACUAAAGUUACUGUACCUCACACUGUUUCUUUUAGUUUGUUUACUGUUAGUUUGUACCUCCUGCUAUCACUUCCAAAAAUAUAUGAAAGACACUCUGACCAAUACUGUUAUGCACUAAUAAUAAAUGUCCUCACAGUCAGCCGCUUUAUUAUAAUAGGCUGACUUUUAUUCAAGCACCUUUUAAACCAUACUUCCAUUAUGAGAUUAGAAACAAAUGUGAGUGAAGUGAAUCGUGUAUUUACAGUAAUGUGAUAGUUUUUCCUGAGGUUGUGUUUGAUGUGCACAUAGCGGCUAUAAAAUGUAUUCACCCAUUGUUGGACUUUUUCAUUUUUUACAUCAAUAAAUCAUUUUAGAUAUAAGGAAUUUUGACUUUGAACCUUAAAAUAGUUCACAUACCCAACUAAUCUGCAGCAAGGUUACAGCCAAGUACUGGUCAAUGGGGGGAUUGUAGUAAAAUUCCGAGGUUUUACUGUUGUUAACUGUCUUUUCUGGCGAGAUGUUACUCUUGACAGGUGUUGGAGCAAGACACUCUCUGGAGGCACUGGCAGUGAAUUUACUCAGGAGAUAUUGAUUAGUAGGAGCUUGUCAGACACAACAAUACAGCGAUUGCCCAGUCCGACUCUGAAGUAGACUACAGUCUGUCAAUAUUGAAGUCCCACUAAUCCAGUGAAUCUUGUCCCUUGUAUAAUGUUAGUUAGAGGAUACAUUGUAGAAGACUGUACACAUUGAGUUAUAUUGGCUGUUGACUGAUCACAAGCCAUUGUAUACUGUAUGACCUGCCUUUUACAUGCAGCAGCACAUGGACUGAUGCCAAAAAUGUUCUUGGACUACAGUCACAGUGUGUAUGUAUACAUUCAAUCAGGCCAUUCUCUGAAACUGAAUGGCACAGCAAGGGUUACAGAAAGGCUGAAAACACUAGUGGGGUUAUGAAUGUUAAAGACAGCUGAUAAUAAUACAAACAGACCCUGAAAAAUCAAUGUGGCAAAGAGAACUGCUGUAUUUUGCAAAAUACCUGGGCUGGGUAGCUGUUUUUUUUUGUAAUUUUAGUCAACAUUAAAGCCACUCUAAUGUUACUUUAUGAAUGACUGUCAGUGUUUGAUAGAGAACAAAUCAAAGUCUACAUCACUCUGCAUUCAUAUGGUGUAGACAAAAAUGUAUUUGCAAAGAAUAGUAUAUAUCAAAUGUCUCUGUACAACACGUCAUUUAGUGUAGAACACGAAAAAGUCCCACAGGUGUGUAUGCUUUUUAGCCACUCUCAGUAUUGAAUAUACUUACAUUCCAUCAGAGCUUUCUGCCCUCCCAUACCAACUAGUCCUUAACUACUGUGUAUUCAGUCAGAAAUAUUUUAUGUAAGGAGACUUAUUACAGAUGUAUCUUUUUCAAAGUGAACGUUAACCAUUUCAAAAUGAAUUAUACUGUGACAAACAAUACUGUGUCUGAACAAAACUCAAGUGUAAUUUUAAAAAACUUGAAAUAAAAUGUGGACUGUAUUGUGUACAUCAACUCAAACUGUUUGUGGUGUUUGUGUAAAAUAAUGAGCAAUGUAUUAGGCCAAAUGCAAUUCACAUAUUUUAUUACAAAAAACCAUUGUCCAAUCUCAAUAACAAAGAAAUCAUAUGAGCACUGGAAAGGGGGAAUGUUGUCUCCAGGGUGGUGUCAUCCAUUUUCAUCUCACCUGAGGAGAGAAAAAGAGACUUCAUAGGUGGCAGAAUGUCAUAGACUAGCAAACACCAAUCUGUCUUUAACAAUAUACACAUUUAAAGACAGUUAAUAGACAGAUGUCAAUUCAGAGUUGUGUUAGAAUAGAAUUAGUCAACAGCAGCAUGUUCUUAGUGUGCUAUGAGGACCUCAAUUUCUGUAUUCUUCAUUUAAUUUAAGUAUGACAGACAGAAGCUUAAAAACAACUGAGCCUGUAAACCAUUUUAAAUAACUUAAAUUUUCUGUCAGUAAUCACACUAGACUUAAACCAGUUGGACAUUUUCCAAACUAUCAGUAUCUGCAAAACAUGGCUCCAAUAGUCACCACUGAAAUUACAGUCUUUAAAAGUGUCUGUACAAAUAUCACUUAACAUUAAAUGGAGUUAUUUUUAAUUACUGGGGUGGCUGUUCAGUUCUCUAGACUCUAAUACAGUCAAAGAUUGUUAAUUUCUGUCAGUGUCAAAAUUUUUGGCACUCACCUCACCAGUCAUGCUUCAGGAUACAUUUGGAGCCUCUACUCCUGCUUCUUGGGGUUAUUGACAGCAACGUAGUGAUAUAAAACUACCAGCAGGAACAAUGACACGCCAAGCAUGUUGGCAAAUAUGGCCAGUUGCACGUCUGUCACCAUUCUGGAAAGAAAAGACACAAUAUUGGAGGCAUGUAAAAAUAACUUGCACACUCCUUGCAGUUAAGUUCAGUAUGCAGUGUAUCACCGAGUUUCAGACCCAUUAUAAAUCGUAAGGGGGAGUAAGUAACGAUUGGUAAAAUAACAUGCUGUAUUUAGGUUACAAACGUCCACAAAACCGGCCAGACAUAAAUAAUUUCAGACCAAAACAUUUAGUUAGAUCAAGCUGCCCUGUAGUUAGCUUAGCCGUUAGCACACACAAAAUUAACUUUUCCGGGGAAGCCACUGGACUUUUUUUUUUUUUUUUUUUUUUAACAUAAACAUUUUGUAAAUUACUGAAGCGCGUUUAACAUUAUUCACUGGAGUGCUUGACGACAUUCGCCAAAUAAAUGUGCCAAAUGCUGGCAGGUUGUGCUGCUGUCAAGAAAAGAUGCUAACACCCACCUAGCUUAGUGCAAACGACACAUGCUAAUCUACACAACACAGGGAGCACUACGCAAGAAGCUUAAACAAAAGUACAAAACUUGAAUAAGUUACCUAAUGUUACUUACAUGGCUGCUUAUAUUUCGUUUCAAUCUCACUUCGACUGAUCCCUUAACUGCUGAGCAUCAGACAAGCAAACCUGUCUGUCUGUCUCUGUCUGACUGACUGACUUCCGGCUGUAGCGGAAAGCCACGUCACAUUUAGGGAAGCCGCAGGGCAGA